UUAGCCGCUAGUGAAAAAUCCAAUGGUUGGUAGCUACCCUUUCUUUAUCUUCCCUCCAUUAAUUUCAUUGUCCUGUUGCUCUUAUUCGAGUCCCUGUGACAGGCAGCUAGGAAUCCAUGGAAGACUCAGAGAAAAGCUUGGAGGAGACUUUACUACCAAAACAGAGAGAAGAUGAAACGCAAAGUUCAGCUCUAACUUGGGAUGUGUUCACUCAAGAAUGCAAAAAACUAUGUUAUAUAGCAGGUCCCAUGGUGGCUGUGACUUUAUCCCUUUACUUGAUUAACGUUAUAUCAAUGAUGAUGGUGGGUCACCUCGGUGAACUUGCUCUCUCUAGCAGCGCCAUAGCCAUCUCUCUCUCUGCUGUUACUGGCUUCAGUCUCAUGGUAAUUAAAAUAUCCAUUUGUGUCUUCCCAUAUCUAAGUUUUCCUUAUGGCUCAUGUUUCUUGACGAUCUUUUCUUUGUCCUGCGUGUAAGUUCUAACUUCACUUGAAUGCAUGGUCGUUAAAGCUAGACGAUUAGCAAGAAGUGAAAAACCCAGAAAUUAGUAUCCUGAUUCAAGCGAAUGCUGCCUUUUGGUAGAUAAUUUUACCUGGAGUAAUGGGUUCUGCCCAAAUCUUUCUCCCAAUAAAAAAAAAUAGAAGUUAAACAAAAUCUUGAACAGAAAAUCUGAUUUGAAUAGCAGAGAUAUUAAAUGAAAUGAUUCGAAUUAGUAAUUAUUAGCAAUUAAAUCUUUUAUUACAGGUUGGAAUGGCAAGUGCUCUAGAAACUCUGUGUGGGCAAGCAUAUGGGGCAGAGCAAUAUCGGAAACUUGGAACCCAAACUUACAGUGCUAUCUUCUCUCUAAUCUUAGUCGCUCUUGCUGUGUCUUUGCUGUGGUUCAACAUGGAAAAGCUGCUCAUACUACUUGGCCAAGAUCCAUUAAUUGCUCAUGAAGCCGGCAAAUUUACAAGCUUACUUGUUCCGGCUCUCUUUGCUUAUGCAAUUUUUCAGCCGCUUACUCGAUACUAUCAAACACAGAGCUUAACCAUUCCCAUGCUCAUAAGCUGUUGUAUUACACUUUGUUUGCACGUACCCUUAUGUUGGAUCCUAGUAUUCAAAUCUGGACUUAAAAACCUUGGAGGGGCAUUGGCUAUCAGUAUUUCGCAUUGGUUGAAUGUGAUUUUUCUUGCAUCAUACAUGAAAUUUUCUUCUGCCUGUGCAAAAACUCGUGUUCCAAUUUCUAUGGAGCUGUUCCAGGGAGUUGGGGAGUUCUUCCGCUUCGCCCUCCCUUCUGCUGUAAUGAUUUGGUAAAUUAUCACCCUUCUUUUAUUUUUUUGAACCCACUAUUUAGCUUAAAGAGUGAUUAAUACUAUUAAUUCUGUCCUCAGACAACCCUUAACGUUUGUGUUUCUUGUUGAUAACCGUAGCCUGCAAUGGUGGUCAUAUGAAUUUGUAAUCUUGCUGUCAGGCCUCUUACCAAAUCCACAGCUUGAGACUUCAGUCCUGUCUAUAUGGUAAUCUAUCCCUUACUAUUAACUGUCCGUGUGAUAUCAUCUUACUGCAACAGCAAUCGGGAAAUUUUUGUUUAUAUCCAGUCUCGCAUUUCUAUCUUAACUCUGAUAAACUGGGUUUAUGUAAGUUUUUCCUUACAUAUAUGUUUGAUCAAACUUAAUAUUUUCAAAUCUUGCAAACAGUCUUACCACGAUUGCAACCCUCUAUUCAUUUCCAUAUGGGCUAAGUGCUGGAGUGAGGUUUGCUCCUUUACACGUACAGCUUUUUGUUUUUUCUCUUUUUCUUUGGGAGGGAGGAAUGGACUGGAUACUGAACUCAGGACUCCACAUGCAAUUAUCUGUGCAGCACUAGAGUCUCAAAUGAAUUAGGAGCUGGGAAACCACAAGUGGCACGCAAAGCUGUCUGGUGUAUGAUGUUUAUUACGGCUGCAGAGUUGAUUCUGGUGAGCGGAACUCUCUUUGCAAGCCGGCAUAUAUUUGGCUACACUUUUAGCAGCGAGAAAGAAGUGGUGGACUCUGUAUCAUCCAUGGCUCCUCUGGUUUGUUUGUCUGUUAUCAUAGAUGGAUUACAAGGCGUCUUUUCAGGUGUUGCAAGGGGCUGUGGUUGGCAGCAUAUAGGAGCUUAUAUCAAUUUAGCAGCACUAUAUCUGUGUGGAGUUCCAGCAGCAGCCACACUUGGAUUUUUGUUCCAGCUUAAAGGAAGAGGCCUUUGGAUUGGCAUAAGUAUUGGGGCACUUUUGCAAGCAGUACUGCUUUCUUUAGUCAUCAUUUAUACGGAUUGGGAAAAA
RNAcentral lists this unclassified non-coding RNA (2278 nucleotides) under Hevea brasiliensis (rubber tree). Lineage: Eukaryota; Viridiplantae; Streptophyta; Magnoliopsida; Malpighiales; Euphorbiaceae. The record is from RNAcentral.